UACGGAGGGCUCAAGCGUUGUUCGGAUUCAUUGGGCGUAAAGGGUGCGUAGGUGGCGCUGUAAGUCGGGUGUGAAAUUUCGGAGCUUAACUCCGAAACUGCAUUCGAUACUGCGGUGCUUGAGGACUGGAGAGGAGACUGGAAUUCAUGGUGUAGCAGUGAAAUGCGUAGAGAUCAUGAGGAAGACCAGUGGCGAAGGCGGGUCUCUGGACAGUUACUGACACUGAGGCACGAAGGCCAGGGGAGCAAACGGG
RNAcentral lists this ribosomal RNA (253 nucleotides) under uncultured bacterium. Its description in RNAcentral is "partial 16S ribosomal RNA". It matches the Rfam family "Bacterial small subunit ribosomal RNA", at positions 524 to 776 of the family's 1533-position model. The record is from RNAcentral.